GACGUGUUUGUAUCUCCAAUUUUAACUUUCUAUAUAAAGUUGGAUACUGUUUUAAAUUUACUAAAUUGGUUUGUUACUAUUUCGUUUAACUCUCUACCAUCAUCGAAUAAAGGUGUAAACUCGUCCACUGCUGAGACAGAGAGGCCAGUUCUCAUUUCUUUGGCGGCUCCCUGUAACGGUCAGCAAAACUCUUCCCUUCACAUUAAGGUGGCGGGGCUUACAGAACAAAAUAGAAUUCUGCGUGAAGAGAUGCUCCAGCAAGAAGUCAAUACACUUGUCAGAAACGAAGGGUGAAGAUAAUAUGCCUGUGAUUUGUUUCAUUUGCAAUGAAGAAGUGGACAUCAAAAGAAAAUUUGGAUCGGACGAUCAGCCGAUCUGUUCCAAGUGUAACAGCUACUACAGCAGAAAUAAGGAAUAAAGAAGUAGCCCCAGCUCUGGACCAGAACUUGGAUUAGGUUGGCCGCUGUAUAUACCUUAUUAACUCUA
Molecule: long non-coding RNA, 486 nt
Organism: Macrosteles quadrilineatus (aster leafhopper)
Lineage: Eukaryota; Metazoa; Arthropoda; Insecta; Hemiptera; Cicadellidae
Exons: 5
Source: RefSeq, a predicted model, not a curated record